CGUGCUUAACACAUGCAAGUCGAACGGAAAGGCCCUGCUUUUGUGGGGUGCUCGAGUGGCGAACGGGUGAGUAACACGUGAGUAACCUGCCCUUGACUUUGGGAUAACUUCAGGAAACUGGGGCUAAUACCGGAUAGGAGCUCCUGCUGCAUGGUGGGGGUUGGAAAGUUUCGGCGGUUGGGGAUGGACUCGCGGCUUAUCAGCUUGUUGGUGGGGUAGUGGCUUACCAAGGCUUUGACGGGUAGCCGGCCUGAAAGGGUGACCGGCCACAUUGGGACUGAGAUACGGCCCAGACUCCUACGGGAGGCAGCAGUGGGGAAUAUUGCACAAUGGGCGGAAGCCUGAUGCAGCAACGCCGCGUGCGGGAUGACGGCCUUCGGGUUGUAAACCGCUUUCGCCUGUGACGAAGCGUGAGUGACGGUAAUGGGUAAAGAAGCACCGGCUAACUACGUGCCAGCAGCCGCGGUGAUACGUAGGGUGCGAGCGUUGUCCGGAUUUAUUGGGCGUAAAGGGCUCGUAGGUGGUUGAUCGCGUCGGAAGUGUAAUCUUGGGGCUUAACCCUGAGCGUGCUUUCGAUACGGGUUGACUUGAGGAAGGUAGGGGAGAAUGGAAUUCCUGGUGGAGCGGUGGAAUGCGCAGAUAUCAGGAGGAACACCAGUGGCGAAGGCGGUUCUCUGGGCCUUUCCUGACGCUGAGGAGCGAAAGCGUGGGGAGCGAACAGGCUUAGAUACCCUGGUAGUCCACGCUGUAAACGGUGGGUACUAGGUGUGGGGUCCAUUCCACGGGUUCCGUGCCGUAGCUAACGCUUUAAGUACCCCGCCUGGGGAGUACGGCCGCAAGGCUAAAACUCAAAGGAAUUGACGGGGCCCCGCACAAGCGGCGGAGCAUGCGGAUUAAUUCGAUGCAACGCGUAGAACCUUACCUGGGUUUGACAUGGAUCGGGAGUGCUCAGAGAUGGGUGUGCCUCUUUUGGGGUCGGUUCACAGGUGGUGCAUGGCUGUCGUCAGCUCGUGUCGUGAGAUGUUGGGUUAAGUCCCGCAACGAGCGCAACCCUUGUUCACUGUUGCCAGCACGUUAUGGUGGGGACUCAGUGGAGACCGCCGGGGUCAACUUGGAGGAAGGUGGGGAUGACGUCAAGUCAUCAUGCCCCUUAUGUCCAGGGCUUCACGCAUGCUACAAUGGCUGGUACAGAGAGUGGCGAGCCUGUGAGGGUGAGCGAAUCUCGGAAAGCCGGUCUCAGUUCGGAUUGGGGUCUGCAACUCGACCUCAUGAAGUCGGAGUCGCUAGUAAUCGCAGAUCAGCAACGCUGCGGUGAAUACGUUCCCGGGGCUUGUACACACCGCCCGUCAAGUCAUGAAAGUUGGUAACACCCGAAGCCGGUGGCCUAACCGUUGUGGGGGAGCCGUCGAAGGUGGGACUGGUGAUUAGGACUAAAU
Molecule: ribosomal RNA, 1436 nt
Filed under: uncultured organism
Description: partial small subunit ribosomal RNA
Rfam family: Bacterial small subunit ribosomal RNA
Source: RNAcentral